AUACCAGCACCCCGAGUGGUCGGGACGAUUAUUGGGCCUAAAGCAUCCGUAGCCGGUACUGCAAGUCUUCCGUUAAAUCCACCUGCUCAACAGUUGGGCUGCGGGGGAUACUACAGCGCUAGGAGGCGGGAGAGGCAAGCGGUACUUAAUGGGUAGGGGUAAAAUCCACUGAUCCAUUGAAGACCACCAGUGGCGAAGGCGGCUUGCCAGAACGCGCUCGACGGUGAGGGAUGAAAGCUGGGGGAGCAAACCGGAUUAGAUACCCGGGUAGUCCCAGCUGUAAACGAUGCAGACUCGGUGAUGGGCUGGCCUUGUGCCAACCCAGUGCCGCAGGGAAGCCGUUAAGUCUGCCGCCUGGGGAGUACGGUCGCAAGACUGAAACUUAAAUGAAUUGGCGGGG
Molecule: ribosomal RNA, 400 nt
Filed under: uncultured bacterium
Lineage: Bacteria
Description: partial 16S ribosomal RNA
Rfam family: Archaeal small subunit ribosomal RNA
Source: RNAcentral